AAUGGAAUUAAAACCCUGUGGUGAUUGUGUUACAUCAGUGUGAAGAGGGCAGUCUGUUCAAUGCCUGCAUCUAACCUAUAAGACGAGGGCCUCCCCUUGUGUUGGGAGGGCAACACUACAAAUCCAAGGAGUGUUUGCAAUGUACGCAGUAGUCCCAGCAAGAAGACACAAGAGAUCGCAGAGACUUCAUUCUCUCCCUUUCGUCGACAAAAUGAACCUUAAAACCUGUCUGUUUGGCAUCGUGAAUGUGUUAUUCUUUAUCGGAACAACAUCAGCAUGCCUUCAGAAAAACAUUUCCUGCAACGACAUUAAAUCUGCUGACGGAUACAGGUUCCCUUAUCCGUGUACUGGGGCAUCAGGAAUUUACGUACAACGUAAUGAGAUUCAGAUUGCUAGAGCUAUGCUUAAGACUCAAACUUUUAACUAUCCGGAAGGUGGUCAAGUGGUGAGCAUGGACAACGAUUCAGUCGUUACAAAGGACUGCGGUGACGUGGAAAUAAGAUGCAUAUUUCUUAGCGAAAAUAAUAUUAAGGAAACCUGUAAGGACUUUAAAACCAGGUAAGGCAGCAAUAUGUUGUAAAUAGCUGUUAUACUAUUCAACCUUAUCUUACAUCACUGAUUAUAAAUAUACAC
This 633-nucleotide long non-coding RNA is filed under the name Cottoperca gobio. RNAcentral's name for it is "lncRNA (ENSCGOG00000022596.1)". Lineage: Eukaryota; Metazoa; Chordata; Actinopteri; Perciformes; Bovichtidae. The record is from RNAcentral.